CUGUAUGUGUAUGUUAUUUAUGUAUGUAUGUAUGUGUUUGUGUGUGUUAGUGUAGAUUUAUAAUAUAUGAGAUUUGAUAGUUUUAUAUUGUAGAUUUUCAGCGAAGUUUUAAAAUCAAUGAUCGCAUAGGCAGAUUUUCAGAUAUUUAUAUAAAACUUGCACCAUUAUGUGUACUACAUCUCUUGUAUUUCUUCAUCCCUCUUUAUUUAUUCAUUACAAUAUUUUUGAGUCUUUUUGAGUGUGAUCAGAUGAUUAUUGUGUACUGCACUUGCUAUGAAAAUUAUUAUAUUUCUGUGACUUUCUUUGAAGAUUUUUUACUAUAGACUUUAGACAUUUACCUUUGACUGUACAUAUAGACUAACCAGAUUUACUAAAAUUACUAGAUUAUGCCUCUAUGUAUCUUUCCUGUUUUUCCAAUUCCUGUUCAACUUGAUAUAUGAUUUUCUACUGCAUUUACCUCAGAACCUUUAUGAGAAGAUAACAUGAUCCCAUUGAAUAUCUGCAUCAUUUAGGGUUAUUCAAGGAUCAAUAGGCAACUUCCAAAUGGUAACCAGUUCUUAUGCAUGAGUGUCUACAACAUUUUUCAAGCCCUUCACUACAGAAUGUAUGGACUUGAUCACAUACAGUACAACUUUAACCGUUCUUUUGCUUAGAUGCAACCAAACUUUUCCAACUAGUAAAUCGAUACUAAGUUGCAGGUGAAGCGAGGGUAACCCUGCUACCUCACCUUGGCUUAUCUUGAGCUAACUUCACACUAACUUGUUGAGCCGUUCACACCUCCUUGAGGCAGUGCUGGAGAUGUUGACACUGCCCAGCAUCCCCAUGGACUUGUUGAGGCCAGUGGCAGGCCUCAGACUACCUAAGGCUCAUACAGCCCUUACUACCACCCAAGGGGGAAUGGACCUAAGGGCAAGGGGCGGGAGCAGCAGAGGAGAGGGACCAGACACAUCCAAACCACCACAGUCCACACAAACUCACAUCUCAUGUCUGGCAGAUGCCUUUCUCCUAUAAUAGAACAAACAUGUUCAAAACUGCCCCCAGUACUUCAAAAAAUUGUGGAGUCAGGACAUCCACCAAUAGCUGCCUACUGAUGCUUGUUGUUGACACUGACAUUCGUCAUUAACACCUGUUCAAAAGUUCCUUGUAUUUGAAUGCUCAAGUAGUGUCACAUUAGAUGUGUCAGUCAGACACAAUUAUUUACAUUGUUUUGGUUAAGGUUCUUAUGGAAAUGUUAGGCUUAGUUUGUUUUCUGAUAUUCUUUCUUAAGAAGACAAAAAAGAGUGCCAUCAAAUAUUUUGUUUGAAUGGUAAUAUGAUCUCAUCUAAUGAACAGAUUAUGUCAUCUGAAUGAGAAAAUUACAUGUUUAAUGACUGUUUUUGUUAUUUUCUAGUUUUUGUUUGUUUACUUUGUGUGUUUAGUCUUGAACUGCUGCAUUACUUUUUUUUUUUUUACUGACUCAUUAACAGAAUGUAGACAGCUUUAGUUUUGUCAGACACUAAACCUGACACAGCUUUAACAUGAUCUUGUUCAUUUCCUGAGUUAUCACUCUUGUCUUUCAUACCUCAGUUAUUUGUGUGCUAACCUAUCAAUAAAUACUGAAUGUGC
RNAcentral lists this long non-coding RNA (1605 nucleotides) under Penaeus chinensis. RNAcentral's name for it is "uncharacterized LOC125035255". The record is from RNAcentral. Lineage: Eukaryota; Metazoa; Arthropoda; Malacostraca; Decapoda; Penaeidae.